CACGUAGGAGGCAAACGUUAUCCGGAUUUACUGGGCGUAAAGCGCGUGUAGGUGGUUCUGUAAGUAGGGCGUGAAAGCUCCCGGCUCAACUGGGAGAGGCCGUUCUAAACUGCAGAGCUAGAGGAUGGUAGAGGGAGGUGGAAUUCCAGGUGUAGCGGUGGAAUGCGCAGAUAUCUGGAGGAACACCAGUGGCGAAAGCGGCCUCCUGGACCAUUCCUGACACUCAGACGCGAAAGCUAGGGUAGCAAACGGGAUUAGAUAUCCGGGUAGU
This 271-nucleotide ribosomal RNA is filed under the name uncultured prokaryote. RNAcentral describes it as "partial 16S ribosomal RNA". It matches the Rfam family "Bacterial small subunit ribosomal RNA", at positions 524 to 794 of the family's 1533-position model. The record is from RNAcentral.